Colossoma macropomum (tambaqui) is the source of this 303-nucleotide non-coding RNA. The record is from the annotation of a RefSeq genome assembly. Lineage: Eukaryota; Metazoa; Chordata; Actinopteri; Characiformes; Serrasalmidae.
AUGGGGCAAAGAAUUCUGACUCAGUCUCCAGCAUCUCUGUCAGUUUCUCCAGGAGAGACUGUUACUAUCAGCUGCAAAGCCAGUCAGUACUGUGGUAAUGAGUUUGACUGGUAUCUGCAGAAACCUGGAGAAGCUCCUAAACUCCUGAUCUAUCAUGUAUCAAACCGUCAGCCUGGGGUUCCAGACCGUUUCAGUGGAAGUGGAUCUGGAACAGAUUUCACUCUGAAGAUCACUGGAGUUCAGCCGGAAGAUGCAGGAGAUUAUUACUGUCAGCAGGAUUACGGCAAUCCAUUCACACAGUGA